CGUAACAAGGUCUCCGUUGGUGAACCAGCGGAGGGAUCAUUACCGAGUUUACAACUCCCAAACCCCUGUGAACAUACCUUAAUGUUGCCUCGGCGGAUCAGCCCGCGCCCCGUAAAACGGGACGGCCCGCCAGAGGACCCAAACUCUAAUGUUUCUUAUUGUAACUUCUGAGUAAAACAAACAAAUAAAUCAAAACUUUCAACAACGGAUCUCUUGGUUCUGGCAUCGAUGAAGAACGCAGCAAAAUGCGAUAAGUAAUGUGAAUUGCAGAAUUCAGUGAAUCAUCGAAUCUUUGAACGCACAUUGCGCCCGCUGGUAUUCCGGCGGGCAUGCCUGUUCGAGCGUCAUUUCAACCCUCAAGCCCUCGGGUUUGGUGUUGGGGAUCGGCUCUGCCUUCUGGCGGUGCCGCCCCCGAAAUACAUUGGCGGUCUCGCUGCAGCCUCCAUUGCGUAGUAGCUAACACCUCGCAACUGGAACGCGGCGCGGCCAUGCCGUAAAACCCCAACUUCUGAAUGUUGACCUCGGAUCAGGUAGGAAUACCCGCUGAACUUAAGCAUAUCAA
RNAcentral lists this ribosomal RNA (562 nucleotides) under Fusarium avenaceum. RNAcentral describes it as "eukaryotic LSU rRNA". The stretch from base 194 to 347 matches the Rfam family "5.8S ribosomal RNA". Lineage: Eukaryota; Fungi; Ascomycota; Sordariomycetes; Hypocreales; Nectriaceae. The record is from RNAcentral.